GACGAACGCUGGCGGCGUGCUUAACACAUGCAAGUCGAACGGGGUCCAAGGAGUAGCAAUACUCCUGAAGACCUAGUGGCGAACGGGUGAGUAACACGUGAGCAACCUGCCCCAAAGACUGGGAUAACACCGGGAAACCGGUGCUAAUACCGGAUACCCUCGCCGGGUCGCAUGGCCUGGUGAGGAAAUGAAUUUCGCUUUGGGAGGGGCUCGCGGGCCAUCAGCUUGUUGGUGAGGUAACGGCCCACCGAGGCUUACGGCUAGCUGGUCUGAGAGGACGAUCAGCCACACUGGGACUGAGACACGGCCCAGACUCCUACGGGAGGCAGCAGUGGGGAAUCUUGCCCAAUGGGCGAAAGCCUGAGGCAGCAACGCCGCGUGUGGGAUGACGGCCCUCGGGUUGUAAACC
RNAcentral lists this ribosomal RNA (409 nucleotides) under uncultured bacterium. RNAcentral describes it as "bacterial SSU rRNA". It matches the Rfam family "Bacterial small subunit ribosomal RNA", at positions 28 to 431 of the family's 1533-position model. The record is from RNAcentral.